AGUGUAGCUCAGUGGUAGGGCACUUGUCUAACAUUCAGGAGGUCCUGGGUUCCACCCCCCAGUACU
This 66-nucleotide transfer RNA is filed under the name Fukomys damarensis (Damara mole-rat). It matches the Rfam family "tRNA". Rfam says of the family: Transfer RNA (tRNA) molecules are approximately 80 nucleotides in length. The record is from Rfam by way of RNAcentral. Lineage: Eukaryota; Metazoa; Chordata; Mammalia; Rodentia; Bathyergidae.